This 701-nucleotide ribosomal RNA is filed under the name uncultured Pelagibacteraceae bacterium. RNAcentral describes it as "bacterial SSU rRNA". It matches the Rfam family "Bacterial small subunit ribosomal RNA", at positions 147 to 884 of the family's 1533-position model. The record is from RNAcentral. Lineage: Bacteria; Pseudomonadati; Pseudomonadota; Alphaproteobacteria; Candidatus Pelagibacterales; Candidatus Pelagibacteraceae.
CUCGGGGAAACCUGAGCUAAUACUGGAUAAGCCCUCACGGGGAAAGCUUUAUGCGCCAAAAGAUGAGCCCGCACUUGAUUAGCUUGUUGGUGAGGUAAAAGCUCACCAAGGCAACGAUCAAUAGCUGUUCUUAGAGGAAGACCAGCCACAUUGGGACUGAGACACGGCCCAGACUCCUACGGGAGGCAGCAGUAAGGAAUCUUGCACAAUGGGGGAAACCCUGAUGCAGCGAUGCCGCGUGAGUGAAGAAGGCCUUUGGGUUGUAAAACUCUUUCGUCGGGGAAGAAAAUGACUGUACCCGAAUAAGAAGGUCCGGCUAACUUCGUGCCAGCAGCCGCGGUAAUACGAAGGGACCUAGCGUAGUUCGGAAUUACUGGGCUUAAAGAGCUCGUAGGUGGUUAGAAAAGUUGGUGGUGAAAUCCCAAGGCUCAACCUUGGAACUGCCAUCAAAACUUUCUAGCUUGAGUGUGAUAGAGGAAAGUGGAAUUUCUAGUGUAGAGGUGAAAUUCGUAGAUAUUAGAAAGAACACCAAAUGCGAAGGCAACUUUCUGGAUCACUACUGACACUGAGGAGCGAAAGCAUGGGUAGCGAAGAGGAUUAGAUACCCUCGUAGUCCAUGCUGUAAACGAUGUGUGCUAGACGUUGGAAAUUUAUUUUCAGUGUCGCAGCAAAAGCGUUAAGCACACCGCCUGGGGAGUACG